GACGAACGCUGGCGGCGUGCUUAACACAUGCAAGUCGAACGGAAAGGCCCUGCUUUUGUGGGGUGCUCGAGUGGCGAACGGGUGAGUAACACGUGAGUAACCUGCCCUUGACUUUGGGAUAACUUCAGGAAACUGGGGCUAAUACCGGAUAGGAGCUCCUGCUGCAUGGUGGGGGUUGGAAAGUUUCGGCGGUUGGGGGUGGACUCGCGGCUUAUCAGCUUGUUGGUGGGGUAGUGGCUUACCAAGGCGUUGACGGGUAGCCGGCCUGAGAGGGUGACCGGCCACAUUGGGACUGAGAUACGGCCCAGUCUGCUACGGGAGGCAGCAGUGGGGAAUAUUGCACAAUGGGCGCAAGCCUGAUGCAGCAACGCCGCGUGCGGGAUGACGGCCUUCUGGUUGUAAACCGCUUCCGCCUGUGACGAAGCGUGAGUGACGGUAAUGGGUAAAGAAGCACCGGCUAACUACGUG
Molecule: ribosomal RNA, 468 nt
Filed under: uncultured bacterium
Lineage: Bacteria
Description: partial 16S ribosomal RNA
Rfam family: Bacterial small subunit ribosomal RNA
Source: RNAcentral